Molecule: long non-coding RNA, 821 nt
Organism: Lotus japonicus
Lineage: Eukaryota; Viridiplantae; Streptophyta; Magnoliopsida; Fabales; Fabaceae
Exons: 2
Source: RefSeq, a predicted model, not a curated record
UCAUAAGCUAAGUGUGAGGACUAAAAGUUUAUUAUGGGAAAACUUUAGGAUUAAAACACAAGAGGUUGAAGAGUUUUGGGUUAAACUUUAAUUAUAAAAGUACUGGGGUUUAUUUAAUAAAUUUAUAAAAGAUUGAGGGUUGAAAAAGAACUUACUUUUAUGUGAGGACCUUUUCGUGAUUAUGUGCUUAUCAAGGGACUAGGGUUGAAUUAUUUAAAAGUUGAGGAGUUGUUUGCGAAAUGUGUUUUUUUAAAGGACCUUUCUUUAAAACUCACAAAUAUUUUAUCUUUGGACUUUAGUCCUUGAAACAUAAAGUUUGUGCAUUUAGCCUAAGUGAGCUAGAAAGAUUGGCUAAGUUUGUUAUGGAACUUUAGAUGUGACUUUAGAGGCUAAGGUUUAGUAUGUGAACUUGUGAAGGGUACGAAGGACGAAAGCGCAUUGCGACGAAGCUAAAGAAUAGAAGGAAGCAAGCCGACGCGGAAAACAAAGAUGUGAUAGGAUUGGAGUUGCAGUUUAGGAAGAAAAUUGGCUAAGGCCCUAAUAGGUGUUGCUUCGAGUAGCUGUUGAUUGCUGCAAGGAGGUGAUUGGACUGAUUGACGAGAAGAUUUGCUUGGAGUGAGUGAACCGACCAAAGACUUGUAAAAUAAUAGUUAGAUGUAAGGCUGGAGCCUUGGGUAGAGAAGCUUACCGUCAUUGGUUGAAGCUCGUAAGGAAGAUUGUAAUACUUACUUUGGUCUUGGGUAGGUUCCGAUGCAUUACUCUUCUGCGAAUCUCCAGUGAGGGGAUUGUAGGAAGUAUAUUGGACUUAGGGUGUUAUCACA